RNAcentral lists this ribosomal RNA (301 nucleotides) under uncultured bacterium. Its description in RNAcentral is "partial 16S ribosomal RNA". It matches the Rfam family "Bacterial small subunit ribosomal RNA", at positions 509 to 807 of the family's 1533-position model. The record is from RNAcentral.
CAGCCGCCGCGGGAAUACAGAGGGUGCGAGCGUUAAUCGGAUUUACUGGGCGUAAAGCGUGCGUAGGCGGCUUCUUAAGUCGGAUGUGAAAUCCCUGAGCUUAACUUAGGAAUUGCAUUCGAUACUGGGAAGCUAGAGUAUGGGAGAGGAUGGUAGAAUUCCAGGUGUAGAGGUGAAAUGCGUAGAGAUCUGGAGGAAUACCGAUGGCGAAGGCAGCCAUCUGGCCUAAUACUGACGCUGAGGUACGAAAGCAUGGGGAGCAAACAGGAUUAGAUACCCCGGUAGUCCCUGUCUCUUAUAC